Molecule: long non-coding RNA, 327 nt
Filed under: Gallus gallus (chicken)
Lineage: Eukaryota; Metazoa; Chordata; Aves; Galliformes; Phasianidae
Description: lncRNA (ENSGALG00010028836.1)
Source: RNAcentral
CUGUGCUCUGUGGCAGUGGGGCUGUGUGACACUGUGCUGUGGGGCUGUGUGACACUGCUCUGCAGUGGGGCUGUGUGACGCUGUGUGGCAGUGGGGCUGUGUGACGCUGUGCUGUGGCAGUGGGGCUGUGUGACACUGCUCUGCAGCAGUGGGGCUGUGUGACACUGCUCUGUCUGUGGGGCUGUGUGACACUGUGUGGCAGUGGGGCUGUGUGACACUGUGCUCUGUGGCAGUGGGGCUGUGUGACGCUGUGCUGUGGGGCUGUGUGACACUGCUCUGUCUUGGGGCUGUGUGACACUGUGCUCAGCAGUGGGGCUGUGUGAUGUG